Molecule: ribosomal RNA, 478 nt
Filed under: uncultured bacterium
Lineage: Bacteria
Description: partial 16S ribosomal RNA
Rfam family: Bacterial small subunit ribosomal RNA
Source: RNAcentral
GAUGAACGCUGGCGGCGUGCUUAACACAUGCAAGUCGAACGGUAAGGCCCUUCGGGGUACACGAGUGGCGAACGGGUGAGUAACACGUGGGUGAUCUGCCCUGCACUUCGGGAUAAGCCUGGGAAACUGGGUCUAAUACCGGAUAGGGCCACUGCCUGCAUGGGUGGUGGUGGAAAGCUUUUGCGGUGUGGGAUGGGCCCGCGGCCUAUCAGCUUGUUGGUGGGGUGAUGGCCUACCAAGGCGACGACGGGUAGCCGGCCUGAGAGGGUGACCGGCCACACUGGGACUGAGAUACGGCCCAGACUCCUACGGGAGGCAGCAGUGGGGAAUAUUGCACCAUGGGCGCAAGCCUGAUGCAGCGACGCCGCGUGAGGGAUGACGGCCUUCGGGUUGUAAACCUCUUUCAGCACCGACGAAGCGCAAGUGACGGUAGGUGCAGAAGAAGGACCGGCCAACUACGUGCCAGCCGCCGCAGUAA